GGAUAAAAUCAAAAUAAGUAAUUUUUUUAUAACUUUUAAAAUCCAAAAUCAUCUGCCUUGAAAAUUGAUCUGCCUAAACAUAAUAACAAAAUCAAAAUAGACUUACUUACGCCACUUCACCUCAUGUGUUAAAUUAAAAAAAAACAUUAAAUGAAAGAUUUUAAAUCUUUGAGGGAGCCAAGAAAAACUCUUACUACUCCUCUCUCCUAUAUACUCAGUCCAAUCAAUAUUCCAAACAAAUAAUUAAAAACUAAUAACAAACUUUAAUGAUAAAACAAAAUAAAUUGAAAGAGUCAUAAAAACAAAUCAUAAAAAAUCCAACUCUCUCUCUAAGCUAAAUCACGAAGCAUCUCUCUAAUUUUGAAACCACAAAACCAAUAAAGGAAAAAAUCAGAACUUGUAAAAAAAAAUCAAAUCAAAACUCAAUUUUUUCUUCUUUCCAAUCUCCAACGCUCUUAUUCCUCUUUCUCUAUAUCUCGCUUCUCAAACAAUCUCAAACCAACCCAAUAGUUCAAUUUGAAGGGACAACAAACAAAAAUCUCCUAAAUCCAAUACCCAGAGAGUCCUUACUCAUACAGUCAAAACGGAUCCAAAAAAAAACUACAACAAAAAAACCUAAUAUAAAAAAUCACCUGCAAAUUGAGGAAAUAUGGAGAGGCACAAACAAGUAAAGAAGAAACAACAUAAAUCAAAUAAGCAAAGAGCGACUCAAACAAACGUGAAAUAACAAUCAAAGCAAGAAUUCAAAAAAACCUCAUCCCAAACAGUCCCCAAAAGCUCGAAAUCAAAAAUCAACAGAGAAAUAAAGAAACUAAAGUCCAAAAAUAAUAAGAAAGGUGACAAACAAAAGAGUUCAAAGGCCAAAAAUGAAAGUAGAAGAAUACCUUUUCAGAUGUUAUUGAAGUGGUGAUAAAUCCCUAGGUAAAGUUCUUCCUCUCUAGCCUCUUUGAUUUCUACUUUUCUUUUAUCUCCUUUUGAUUGUUAGUUACGGUUGUUGUUGUUGCUAGAUGAUGUUAAGCCAUGAAUUCAUGACCCUUUUGUUUAGUGAAAUCUUAUACUUUUCUUCUCUUUUUACUAUUAGUAUGUUUAGGGAUGGUGUGUUUUCUCUGGGUGGCUAGGGUUUUCUUAUCACCUUUUUUUAUAUUUUGGUCUAUCCUCAUCUUAUAGUGUGGAUGUAGGGCUUUGAACUGAUGUUGUUGAUGAAAGUGGAAGGAAUCAAAAUUAUUUUAAUUUUGCUACAUAAAGAUUGUUAAUUUUAAUCAAAGUUCUGUUGUAUUAUGCUUAUGAUAACAUGCAUUUCCACUUUAUUAUGUUUGACUCCUUUGCUGGUGUAUUUCCUACUAAGAACAAACAUGUUAUUGCCUCUGCCCACAAGUUUAACAAGACAAAAACAAAAAAUCUGCUAUGCUCUUACACAUGAAGAGCCAAGUGGGUCAAGUCAAAGAAAAAAUCAGUAAACUUCAAAAGAGGGACCACACAUAAAGAUGCUUUUUUUUUGUAAUUUGGUUAGGUUUAAUGUAAAACAAAAGUAUUAUUUAUUAUAAAUGUAAAACUUAUUAUGCUUGUAAUUUUUUUACUAUUUCAUGAAUUAUAAAUUAAUGUAAAAGGGAAAAGAAAACCUUUUUUUGAAUUUUAAUGUAAACAUAACUUCUACUAAAAAAACCUAAAUAUUUUGAAUUUCUUUAAUCAAAUUAAAUAGAAUAAAAAAUAUAGAUGAAA
Molecule: long non-coding RNA, 1719 nt
Filed under: Lathyrus oleraceus (garden pea)
Lineage: Eukaryota; Viridiplantae; Streptophyta; Magnoliopsida; Fabales; Fabaceae
Description: Pisum sativum (pea) long non-coding RNA (PSAT_LNC011655)
Source: RNAcentral